UUCUUGUGGAUUUCAGUUUGUACAUGUGGAGAGAGGAAAGGAGGCAGAUGGCAAUCAAAUUAAUCGUCCUCCUGUCAAUAAAAUCCGGUGACUAAUGGAAGCUUUGCUUCCUUAGCUUUCAUUUUGAUAAAAAAAACAAGAAAAGACGGGAUGACAAUCAACUUAAUUAAAUAAAUAUUUGAUUUAGAGAGAAUUUGAACAAAUUUAGCUCUAGUAUCCAAAUGAUGCAUUUAGUAGAGGGGGCAGCACCACAUAUCUAAAACCCAUGG
Molecule: long non-coding RNA, 269 nt
Filed under: Elaeis guineensis (African oil palm)
Lineage: Eukaryota; Viridiplantae; Streptophyta; Magnoliopsida; Arecales; Arecaceae
Description: long non-coding RNA (EGUI_LNC013329)
Source: RNAcentral